RNAcentral lists this ribosomal RNA (303 nucleotides) under uncultured bacterium. Its description in RNAcentral is "partial 16S ribosomal RNA". It matches the Rfam family "Bacterial small subunit ribosomal RNA", at positions 507 to 807 of the family's 1533-position model. The record is from RNAcentral.
AGCAGUAGCCGCGGUAAAACGAGGAGGGCAAGCGUUGUUCGGAUUUAUUGGGCGUAAAGGGUGCGUAGGCGGUUUGGCAAGUCUCGUGUGAAAUCUAUGGGCUCAACCCAUAGCCUGCACGAGAAACUACCGGGCUUGAGUAUUGGAGAGGUGAGUGGAAUUUCCGGUGUAGCGGUGAAAUGCGUAGAUAUCGGAAGGAACACCUGUGGCGAAAGCGGCUCACUGGACAAUAACUGACGCUGAUGCACGAAAGCUAGGGGAGCAAACAGGAUUAGAUACCCCCGUAGUCCCUGUCUCUUAUAC